This 495-nucleotide long non-coding RNA is filed under the name Dermacentor andersoni. Its description in RNAcentral is "uncharacterized LOC126543057". Lineage: Eukaryota; Metazoa; Arthropoda; Arachnida; Ixodida; Ixodidae. The record is from RNAcentral.
AGCUGAGCGCGCGAGGCCGGCGCAGCUGCUGCGGCGUCGCCCCACAUGCGCCGAGCAGCUGACGUUUACUUUCCCGUCAGUCCGCGCAGCGCGAACGCGUGUACCGGCUGACGAAAUCCGGUAACGAUGUUCGCGCCGCGGCGGUGCAGUGCAGCAGCUGCGAACCUGCGCGCAGCUAUCCCGGCGGCGGCAGCCCCCGUCCGUGCUUGAGCACAUCGUGGGCUUAGUGCAGCUGAGCGCACGCAGCCGCAUCGGCAGCACGAGACAGGAUUCGAGAUUAUGGCGAGCCGCAACAAGAACAAGCCCCGGCUGUCGCAGCGCGCCAAGCAGGAGCGUCGCAAGGACAUGAGUGAGAUCCAGGAGAAAAUGUUCUCCGUCGUUGUUCCGGUGAUCGCCACCUUCGCCAUGCUCGUGGUGCUCAUCAUCUACGUGAAGACGAGGCCUCGCACCACCGACUUCUGAGCCCAAUGAGCGCCUUGCCACCUCGAGGUUCGA